RNAcentral lists this ribosomal RNA (514 nucleotides) under uncultured bacterium. RNAcentral's name for it is "partial 16S ribosomal RNA". It matches the Rfam family "Bacterial small subunit ribosomal RNA", at positions 28 to 523 of the family's 1533-position model. The record is from RNAcentral.
GACGAACGCUGGCGGCGUGCCUAAUACAUGCAAGUCGAGCGGAUGAAAGAGGAGCUUGCUCCUCUAGAUUCAGCGGCGGACGGGUGAGUAACACGUGGGCAACCUGCCCUGUAGAUUGGGAUAACUCCGGGAAACCGGGGCUAAUACCGAAUAAUCCUUCGGACCUCAUGGUCCGAUGUUGAAAGACGGUUUCGGCUGUCACUACAGGAGGGGCCGGCGGCGCAUUAGCUAGUUGGUGAGGUAACGGCUCAGCAAGGCCACGAUGCGUAGCCGACCUGAGAGGGUGAUCGGCCACACUGGGACUGAGACACGGCCCAGACUCCUACGGGAGGCAGCAGUAGGGAAUCUUCCACAAUGGACGAAAGUCUGAUGGAGCAACGCCGCGUGAGUGAAGAAGGUUCUCGGAUCGUAAAACUCUGUUGUGAGGGAAGAACAAGUACCGGAGUAACUGCCGGUGCCUUGACGGUACCUCAUUAGAAAGCCACGGCUAACUACGUGCCAGCCGCCGCGGUAA